CUUAACACAUGCAAGUCGAGGGGCAUCAGGAAGAAAGCUUGCUUUCUUUGCUGGCGACCGGCGCACGGGUGAGUAACACGUAUCCAGCCUGCCCUUUACUCGGGGAUAGCCUUUCGAAAGAAAGAUUAAUACCCGAUAGCAUAAUGAUUCCGCAUGGUUUCAUUAUUAAAGGAUUCCGGUAAAGGAUGGGGAUGCGUUCCAUUAGGUUGUUGGUGAGGUAACGGCCCACCAAGCCUUCGAUGGAUAGGGGUUCUGAGAGGAAGGUCCCCCACAUUGGAACUGAGACACGGUCCAAACUCCUACGGGAGGCAGCAGUGAGGAAUAUUGGUCAAUGGGCGCUAGCCUGAACCAGCCAAGUAGCGUGAAGGAUGAAGGCUCUAUGGGUCGUAAACUUCUUUUAUAUAAGAAUAAAGUGCAGUAUGUAUACUGUUUUGUAUGUAUUAUAUGAAUAAGGAUCGGCUAACUCCGUGCCAGCAGCCGCGGUAAUACGGAGGAUCCGAGCGUUAUCCGGAUUUAUUGGGUUUAAAGGGAGCGUAGGUGGACUGGUAAGUCAGUUGUGAAAGUUUGCGGCUCAACCGUAAAAUUGCAGUUGAUACUGUCAGUCUUGAGUACAGUAGAGGUGGGCGGAAUUCGUGGUGUAGCGGUGAAAUGCUUAGAUAUCACGAAGAACUCCGAUUGCGAAGGCAGCUCACUGGACUGCAACUGACACUGAUGCUCGAAAGCGUGGGUAUCAAACAGGAUUAGAUACCCUGGUAGUCCACACAGUAAACGAUGAAUACUCGCUGUUUGCGAUAUACAGUAAGCGGCCAAGCGAAAGCAUUAAGUAUUCCACCUGGGGAGUACGCCGGCAACGGUGAAACUCAAAGGAAUUGACGGGGGCCCGCACAAGCGGAGGAACAUGUGGUUUAAUUCGAUGAUACGCGAGGAACCUUACCCGGGCUUAAAUUGCAGUGGAAUGAUGUGGAAACAUGUCAGUGAGCAAUCACCGCUGUGAAGGUGCUGCAUGGUUGUCGUCAGCUCGUGCCGUGAGGUGUCGGCUUAAGUGCCAUAACGAGCGCAACCCUUAUCUUUAGUUACUAACAGGUUAUGCUGAGGACUCUAGAGAGACUGCCGUCGUAAGAUGUGAGGAAGGUGGGGACGACGUCAAAUCAGCACGGCCCUUACGUCCGGGGCUACACACGUGUUACAAUGGGGGGUACAGAAGGCAGCUAGCGGGUGACCGUAUGCUAAUCCCAAAAUCCUCUCUCAGUUCGGAUCGAAGUCUGCAACCCGACUUCGUGAAGCUGGAUUCGCUAGUAAUCGCGCAUCAGCCACGGCGCGGUGAAUACGUUCCCGGGCCUUGUACACACCGCCCGUCAAGCCAUGGGAGCCGGGGGUACCUGAAGUACGUAACCGCAAGGAUCGUCCUAGGGUAAAACUGGUGACUGGGGCUAAGUCAUA
RNAcentral lists this ribosomal RNA (1440 nucleotides) under uncultured organism. RNAcentral describes it as "SSU rRNA". It matches the Rfam family "Bacterial small subunit ribosomal RNA". The record is from RNAcentral.